Long non-coding RNA from Hipposideros armiger (great roundleaf bat), 861 nucleotides. RefSeq lists it as uncharacterized. The record is from RefSeq and is a predicted model, not a curated record. The transcript has 2 exons. NCBI's taxonomy places the organism in Eukaryota, Metazoa, Chordata, Mammalia, Chiroptera, Hipposideridae.
CUCACAGGCUGCAGCUUUAGAUAUUGCCAUGAUUAAAAUGGUGACCCCGUCCAUGGCCUACCGAGUGAUUGACCGUGCUAUUCAGGCCUUCGGAGCAGCAGGGCUGAGCAGUGACUACCCGCUGGCCCAGUUCUUCGCCUGGGCCAGAGCACUGCGCUUUGCCGACGGCCCUGAUGAGGUGCACCGGGCAGCGGUGGCCAAGAUGGAGUUGAAGCGCCACGUUUAGAGCAGCAGAACUGGGAGCCAGAGUGCCCUGCCAGGCCCAACACGCUACACGAUGCGCUUUGGAAGGCCUAGUGUGUGUGAUUCUUCACCCUGCCGGCAGCUCUAUCCUGGGACAAUCACUGUGCACACGGCCUUUCUGGGUCCCCACAGAAGACAUUUCUGUGAGAAGCCUUGCAUUUGCUGUUUCAGGCAAGGAGGAAGGGGAGCAGCUGAGAGCUGAGAGGGUUUCAGGACAGAGCCUAGAGAGCUGGUCCUCAGUCUCAGUGCCCUGGUGGGCAGCCCAUGCCCCUCUCCCUCUGGCUAUGAAACCUGAACAAGUAUUGGCAGCCCUGCUAGGUGGCGUGCCUGUGCUUGCUCCCAAUGUGGGAGCUUCCUGCUCUGUGGGGCCUCCCCAGCAAGCAAAGGGGCUGCAUCUAAAGACCUAGGCCAAGUGCUCUUGGGAAAAUGAAACCAGAAUCAUGAAGCCACUGCCAUCGAUUUUCUUUGUUUGAACGUCCACGACACAGAACACUAAUUAAGAUGUUAUUUUGGAAAGGGGCUUUGGGAACACAAAAGACUAAGAAAAUACACCUCAGAGACUUCGGGAAUGUCUCUGUCAUACAGGAGGCAUUCAGAAUAAAGGUCCACUCUUCAGUC